Molecule: ribosomal RNA, 253 nt
Filed under: uncultured Pasteuria sp.
Lineage: Bacteria; Bacillati; Bacillota; Bacilli; Caryophanales; Pasteuriaceae
Description: partial 16S ribosomal RNA
Rfam family: Bacterial small subunit ribosomal RNA
Source: RNAcentral
UACGAGAGGCCCAAACGUUAUUCGGAUUUACUGGGCUUAAAGAGUCCGUAGGCGGCGCAGAAAGUGGGGUGUGAAAUCCCUCGGCUCAACCGAGGAAUUGCGCUCCAAACUCCUGUGCUUGAGGAAUCUAGAGGUGAGCGGAACUGAUGGUGGAGCGGUGAAAUGCGUUGAUAUCAUCAGGAACACCGGAGGCGAAGGCGGCUCACUGGGGAUUUUCUGACGCUGAGGGACGAAAGCCAGGGGAGCGAACGGG